This 482-nucleotide ribosomal RNA is filed under the name uncultured bacterium. RNAcentral's name for it is "partial 16S ribosomal RNA". It matches the Rfam family "Bacterial small subunit ribosomal RNA", at positions 29 to 523 of the family's 1533-position model. The record is from RNAcentral.
AGUGAACGCUGGCGGCGUGCUUAACACAUGCAAGUCGAACGGUAGCAGAUAGAAGCUUGCUUCUAUGCUGACGAGUGGCGCACGGGUGAGUAAUGUAUAGCUAACGUGCCCCUUAGAGGGGGAUAACAGUUGGAAACGGCUGCUAAUACCCCAUACUCCUUCUAUCUUAAUGAUAGUUGGGAAAUGUUUUUUCGCUAAGGGAUCGGGCUAUAUGGUAUCAGCUAGUUGGUGGGGUAAUGGCUCACCAAGGCAAUGACACCUAGCUGGUCUGAGAGGAUGAUCAGCCACACUGGAACUGAGGCACGGUCCAGACUCCUACGGGAGGCAGCAGUGGGGAAUAUUGCACAAUGGGGGGAACCUUGAUGCGGCAACGCCGCGUGGAGGAUGACACAUUUCGGCGCGUAAACUCCUUUUAUAUAGGAAGAUAAUGACGGUACUAUAUGAAUAAGCACCGGCUAACUCCGUGCCAGCCGCCGCCGUAA